Non-coding RNA from Podarcis lilfordi (Lilford's wall lizard), 131 nucleotides. The record is from the annotation of a GenBank genome assembly. Lineage: Eukaryota; Metazoa; Chordata; Lepidosauria; Squamata; Lacertidae.
AGAGAUGUAGCUCUGUGGCAGAGCAUCAGCUUAGCAUGCAAGAUCUCAGGGACUGGACAGAUGAGGAGGUGUGCUGCCUGUCAGCUCCCUCGUGACACAAGGGGUCGCAGGUUCAAACCCUGGCAUCUCCA